This 863-nucleotide ribosomal RNA is filed under the name Ophioparma ventosa. RNAcentral describes it as "partial small subunit ribosomal RNA". It matches the Rfam family "Bacterial small subunit ribosomal RNA", at positions 372 to 1292 of the family's 1533-position model. The record is from RNAcentral. Lineage: Eukaryota; Fungi; Ascomycota; Lecanoromycetes; Umbilicariales; Ophioparmaceae.
UAGCCUAACGGCUGAACCAGCAACUUGGAGGAAUGUAUAGCGAAAGCUAAUUGUAUUAACCAACAGUUGAUGCAAUAUCGACUAUGUCGACUAAAAUUCUAGGUAGAGUAAUGAUAAUGACAUUUUUUACCUAUAGGUCUUGACCAAAUCACGUGCCAGCAGUCGCGGUAAUACGUGGAAGACUAGUGUUAUUCAUAUUUAAUAGGUUUAAAGGGUACCUAGACGGUAUAUCUAGCCCAAAAAGGGUACUGGUAAACUAGAGUUUAAUGUGAGGGGGGGAGUACUAAUGGAGUAGAGAUGAAAUUCUGUCAUACCAAGAGGUAACAGGUAUCGGCGAAAGCAACCCUUUAUGCAAAAACUGACGUUGAGGGACGAAGGCCUCGGUCACAAACAGGAUUAGAUACCCUAGUAGUCUGGGCAGACAACGCUGAAUGCCAUAGAUUAGAUUGUAUUUCUUCUAUAAAUGAAAGUGUAAGCAUUCCACCUCAAGAGUAAUUUGGCGACAUUGAAACUGAAAUCAUUAGACCGUUUCUGAAACCAGUAGUGAAGUAUGUUGUUUAAUUUGUUGGCCCUCAAAAAACCUUACCACAAUUUGAAUAUUUUUAUAUUUCUUAUAAUUAUACAGGAGUUGCACGGCUGUCUUCAGUUAAUGUCGUGAGAAUUUGGUUAGUUCCAAAAAAUUAACGUAAACCCUUACUUUAUUUUUUUUUAUAAAGUUGUUCACCGCUAUAUUGGAUAUGAUAAAAGGGACUAAGACAAGUCAUCAUGGCCUAAAUAUUGUGGGCUAUAGACGUGCCACAUAUACCAAUGCAAAGGGGUGCAAAAUUGCAAAAUAGAGCUAAUCCCUAAAAAUUGGAUAUAAU